Phyllopteryx taeniolatus (common seadragon) is the source of this 1674-nucleotide long non-coding RNA. RefSeq lists it as uncharacterized. Lineage: Eukaryota; Metazoa; Chordata; Actinopteri; Syngnathiformes; Syngnathidae. The transcript has 3 exons. The record is from RefSeq and is a predicted model, not a curated record.
GGUGUCGCUAUGGAAACGACGCUGCGUUAUGAUCGGUUCUGAAACUGCGGGGCUUUCGAAUGCUCUAACGGUGUUUCCCAAAUAUUUGCAUACCAAGUCCCACCUCAAGUACAUCUAUAAAGACCAACAUUAAAAGUAGCGCAAUAGGCCCAAGUGUUCAUCAAAAACGAGCCAGAGGUUUUAGUGUAUUUAAUAUUCUUGUAAGCCACUGUCACAUUAUGCAGUUUGAACAUUAACACUCUGUUUCAAUAUAGCAAAAUGUAAAAAAAAACUAGACUUAAAUUCAAUAAAAAAUGUUUUGCAUAUAAAACAAAACUAAAUAAAUGGUACCAAAAUAAAUUCAAACAACAUGUUCUAAAUGAUUCAACGCAAAUGUGUUGUAUUUUAAAGUUAAAUACUAAAACUAAACUGUACUUCAAAUAUGCUGUUCUGGUUUUCAAAAAAAAAGUUGAAGCCGCUGUAACAUUAUACACUAUUUGAGCAUUUAAGUGCAGUGCGUAGCCUCUGUCACCUCCUAAACUGGAAUUCUGCAUUACAACAACAAGCCGUCGCUUUGAUAUGAUGUAGGCGAUGCCUAGCCCCCACCUCUGCACCAUGUGAUUCUAAAACGCUUUUAUUCCGUUUUGAAGGCUAGCAGGUACGGAGAAAAGACGGAUUCUUUGGAAAAGCUCGAUCUCAUGGCACUGGAGCCUCUCUCGGAACUCGGGACUGUCCACGAACGAGUCGCUGAACUCCAGCGUCGGCAGACCCAUCCUGGCUAAACGGACGGCGACGCGAAACAAACUACGCCGAAAAGGACGCCGGUCGAGACUGCGCCGAGGAUAGCUACCCUGAAAACAAAACAAAAAAAAACAAAAAAAAUGGAAAUGAACGACAAACUCCGGUGGCGGAAGCUCUAACAGGCUUCCUCGCUCACAACUUAGCAGAUGCUGGAAGUGUGAGGGAGGCGCAGGUUGCAACUUUGGUGAAAAAUCAUUCAAAGAAGAAUCGCUUGGCAAAGAAUGUGACGCUGCUAGCUAAAGGAGCCUCUGGUGGAGGGCGGCUGGUUACUAUGGGGACGAGAGACUCCUGCUGGCGCCCGGUGAAAUUUGAGCAAAAUACACACCACUACCACUUUUCGCUAUGUUACGGAAACUACUACAACUGCCACUACUCACGCCUAACUAUUAUAUGGAAACGACUACUACAAUUCCCUCUUGCUCCACUACUCACUAUUAUAUGAAAAAUACUAGCUACUACUACUACUAGUAAUACAAUUAUUAGUCAUUUUGAGUACUGGGAAGUACAAUACUAGUAUUAGUUGUAGUACUAAAAUUACAAGUUGUAGUAAUGUUAGUUGUAGGGCUGAAUGUUGUAGUUGUGGUGAUAGUAAAAGUAUUCAUUUUACUCAGAGUAAUAUUAGGUGUGGUGGUAAAAGUUGUAGCAGAAAUAGUAUUGCAGUAGUAGAUCACUUCACAGUAAUAGUAGUUGUCCAUGUAGCUUUGGGAACUAGUAGCCCAAGUACUGCUAAGUCCUGUUAGAUUCCCAUAGUUGUAAUAUAAUGCUGUCUAUCUAAUUCCGACUAAAUGUAUCAUCAUCAUCAUCGUGAAAUGUUAUGAGUGUAAAAACAGUAACAUGACAUGUGUUUGCUCUGAUAUCGUAUUAUCUUUCAAUAAAAUGUCACAUGUCAGUGUA